This 301-nucleotide ribosomal RNA is filed under the name uncultured bacterium. RNAcentral's name for it is "partial 16S ribosomal RNA". It matches the Rfam family "Bacterial small subunit ribosomal RNA", at positions 509 to 809 of the family's 1533-position model. The record is from RNAcentral.
CAGUCGCCGCGGGAAUACAGAGGGUGCGAGCGUUAAUCGGAUUUACUGGGCGUAAAGCGUGCGUAGGCGGCUAAUUGAGUCGGAUGUGAAAUCCCCGAGCUUAACUUGGGAAUUGCAUUCGAUACUGGUUAGCUAGAGUGUGGGAGAGGAUGGUAGAAUUCCAGGUGUAGCGGUGAAAUGCGUAGAGAUCUGGAGGAAUACCGAUGGCGAAGGCAGCCAUCUGGCCUAACACUGACGCUGAGGUACGAAAGCAUGGGGAGCAAACAGGAUUAGAUACCCCUGUAGUCCCUGUCUCUUAUAU